Molecule: ribosomal RNA, 253 nt
Filed under: uncultured bacterium
Lineage: Bacteria
Description: partial 16S ribosomal RNA
Rfam family: Bacterial small subunit ribosomal RNA
Source: RNAcentral
GACGAGGGGUCCUAGCGUUGUUCGGAAUCAUUGGGCGUAAAGCGUAGGUAGGCGGCUUUCUAAGUCAGGUGUGAAAUCCCCGGGCUCAACCCGGGAAGUGCAUUUGAUACUGGAUAGCUUGAGUAUUGGAGAGGAUAGUGGAAUUCCUGGUGUAGUGGUGAAAUACGUAGAUAUCAGGAGGAACACCGGUGGCGAAGGCGGCUAUCUGGCCAUAUACUGACGCUGAGCUACGAAAGCGUGGGGAGCAAACAGG